GAUCAUGGCUCAGAUUGAACGCUGGCGGCAUGCCUCACACAUGCAAGUCGAACGGCAGCACGGGAGCUUGCUCCUGGUGGCGAGUGGCGAACGGGUGAGUAAUGCAUCGGAACGUGCCCUGAAGUGGGGGAUAACGUAGCGAAAGUUACGCUAAUACCGCAUAUUCUGUGAGCAGGAAAGCAGGGGAUCUUCGGACCUUGCGCUUUUGGAGCGGCCGAUGUCGGAUUAGCUAGUUGGUGGGGUAAAGGCCCACCAAGGCGACGAUCCGUAGCGGGUCUGAGAGGAUGAUCCGCCACACUGGAACUGAGACACGGUCCAGACUCCUACGGGAGGCAGCAGUGGGGAAUUUUGGACAAUGGGCGCAAGCCUGAUCCAGCCAUGCCGCGUGAGUGAAGAAGGCCUUCGGGUUGUAAAGCUCUUUCGGUGGGGAAGAAAUUGCUUGGGUUAAUACCCUGAGUAGAUGACGGUACCCGCAUAAGAAGCACCGGCUAACUACGUG
RNAcentral lists this ribosomal RNA (499 nucleotides) under uncultured bacterium. RNAcentral describes it as "bacterial SSU rRNA". It matches the Rfam family "Bacterial small subunit ribosomal RNA", at positions 15 to 507 of the family's 1533-position model. The record is from RNAcentral.